AGAGACGAGCAUUGGAACUGAUCUGACUGAGCAAGCAUUUUCUGCAACGGUGAAUCCAAGAAGUCUGGUUUGUCUCUGCUGUGGAAGCUGCAAAAGGAAAGAUGCUAGCGAAUCGACCCUUGAAUCUGUCAAGGCAAAGAGAAAAGAGACUACUUUAAAACCUCGGCUGAUGUACUUUGAUGCCAAUGAAGGUGGUGAGAAUACCAGCAGCAGUGAUGCAAGAGAUGGUGGAAUGUUGAUAUUGGCUGGAGACUACGGCCUCUGUAACCACCAUUGUUGGUCAAGGAUCUGGUGCGAACAAGGGUACUGAAGUGGGUGAGGAAGGUGGCACCGACAUAGGAGGUGGUGGUGGUGGUGGUGCUUGUGGCGGCGGAGCCGGUGGGUGCGGUGCUGGUCUAGUAUACUAUAUUAACAUGUAAAUUAGGAUGAUCUUUGUGUGGGCUUUGUGUUGGCGAAGGAUAGUUCAUCUCGUAUGCGUAUAGCCUCAUUUACAGAAUGCUUGGUAAAUGUAUUUCCUUCUGCUACAAAGAAUUUCAUCCCAAUUAAAAGG
Molecule: long non-coding RNA, 550 nt
Organism: Rhodamnia argentea
Lineage: Eukaryota; Viridiplantae; Streptophyta; Magnoliopsida; Myrtales; Myrtaceae
Exons: 3
Source: RefSeq, a predicted model, not a curated record